This 195-nucleotide non-coding RNA is filed under the name bovine gut metagenome. The record is from RNAcentral.
CGUAGGGUGCCCGGGUUACGGCUCGGGAGAAUAGGGAAUCGGGUGAAAAUCCUGAACGAACCCAUCACUGUAAGCCGCAUGCGAUUGUGUUUUGAUCACGCAAUCCCCAAGACAAAGCAUUUUUGCCACUGUUUUAAACAUAUUCAAAACGGGAAGGCGCUUUGUCCGCGGUAAGUCAGGAGACCUGCCUUACAA